UACGUAGGGGGCGAGCGUUGUCCGGAGUUACUGGGCGUAAAGCGCACGCAGGCGGUCUGCUAAGUUUGGAGUGACAGUUGGUGGCUUAACUGCCAAAGUGCUUCGAAAACUGACAGACUUGAGGGCUUCAGAGGGACACGGAAUUCCGGGUGGAGUGGUGAAAUGCGUAGAGAUCCGGAGGAACACCAAAGGCGAAGGCAGUGUCCUGGGGAGUACCUGACGCUCAGGUGCGAAAGCCAGGGGAGCGAACAGGG
RNAcentral lists this ribosomal RNA (254 nucleotides) under uncultured bacterium. RNAcentral describes it as "partial 16S ribosomal RNA". It matches the Rfam family "Bacterial small subunit ribosomal RNA", at positions 524 to 777 of the family's 1533-position model. The record is from RNAcentral.